UUCAUGGGAAAUGUUUUUUUAUAAAUGAAUAUUUGAGCUGUGGAAGUCCAUAAAACGAAUGUAGGCAAACCCUCUUUUCAGAUUUAAAUUAAAACAAGAAAAACCGUUAACUUCGGCUAAUAUACCCUUCACAGGUGCAUUUCUUUUAGUAACUAUGUGUUUAAGCAAAUCUAAAGACGUAAGAAAAAGGCCUCCGACGCUUCCUUCUGUGUGUAGAGCAGGGACGGAUCUGGUUUUAUACCCGACCAAGGACAUAAGGAAUCUUAGGCAGAGAAGAAAAAUCAAUGAAGCUUAAAGAUGUCAAUAAUCUUAAAAUUGAGAUUUGGAAGUUUUUUUUGAGAGGAUGUCCAGGAGCUGAUCUACACGUUAAAGAGUAUUUUUAUAUACAGGAUGGGACGAAAGAGCGUUUGUGCUUGAAACUGGUGCAAGCUGGGAGGAAAAAGGAGUAAAGAAUAGUAUAAAAACGAAAUUUAGAAAAAUUAAAUCCCAAUUGGAAAAGUUCUAUAAGGCAUAAAUAAAUUAGAUGAAAGUAAAAAAAAAUAUUUGGCAUUAUAUUCAAGACAAAUUGCCAAUAUUUUUGAACCAGUAUUAAAAUUACAACAAAAAUCCAGAUGGAUUGUAUCAGAAAUGGAAGCUUUUCUUAAAUAACAAAACAACAACAAAUUUAAUUUGACCUUCCUAUUCUACACACGUACAAAUGUAUAUAAAUAUAUCAAUAUAAAUGAAACCACGUAGCCUAUUUUUAGGCGAUCUCUUAAAAGCCAAAUUGCUGAAUCCCCAUAUAUAGUAUAUGAAUGCAUUGUCAAUGCAGUACAACCCAGUGAACCAUCUGAAAGAUUCUAUAUGUUAAUUAUAAUAAUAUACGAGUGCGUAGCGUAUCGAACAAACAACUGGUCUAAACCAUAUAAACUGAUAUGCGCUCUUCUAUUGAAUUCAACUGGGAAAUUCUGUUCUUGUUAUAAGAAGAGUAUUUCAUGUCAAGAGAGCAGAAGAUAUAUGAGUGAAGAUAUCUGGAAUUAUUUUUGUCAUGAAGACGUUAGAAAUCUGCUAUAUUGAAGGAUUAAA
This is a long non-coding RNA of Zeugodacus cucurbitae (melon fly), 1065 nucleotides long. RefSeq lists it as uncharacterized. NCBI's taxonomy places the organism in Eukaryota, Metazoa, Arthropoda, Insecta, Diptera, Tephritidae. The record is from RefSeq and is a predicted model, not a curated record. The transcript has 3 exons.